This 800-nucleotide ribosomal RNA is filed under the name uncultured bacterium. RNAcentral describes it as "bacterial SSU rRNA". It matches the Rfam family "Bacterial small subunit ribosomal RNA", at positions 20 to 796 of the family's 1533-position model. The record is from RNAcentral.
UGGCUCAGGAUGAACGCUAGCGACAGGCCUAACACAUGCAAGUCGAGGGGCAUCGGGGCGAGGAGCAAUCCUUGCCGCCGGCGACCGGCGCACGGGUGAGUAACGCGUAUGCGACCUGCCCGUUGCAGGGGGAUAAUCGGGAGAAAUCCCGUCUAAUACCGCGUAAUGCCGCGGGGCUGCAUGGCCCUGCGGCCAAAGGGAGCGAUUCCGGCAACGGAUGGGCAUGCGUGACAUUAGCUAGUUGGCGGGGCAACGGCCCACCAAGGCGACGAUGUCUAGGGGUUCUGAGAGGAAGGUCCCCCACACUGGUACUGAGACACGGACCAGACUCCUACGGGAGGCAGCAGUGAGGAAUAUUGGUCAAUGGGCGCGAGCCUGAACCAGCCAAGUCGCGGGAGGGAUGACGGCCCUACGGGUUGUAAACCUCUUUUGUCGGGGAGCAAAUUCCGCCACGUGUGGCGGAGUCGAGAGUACCCGAAGAAAAAGCAUCGGCUAACCUCCGUGCCAGCAGCCGCGGUAAUACGGAGGAUGCGAGCGUUAUCCGGAUUUAUUGGGUUUAAAGGGUGCGGUAGGCGGACUGUCAAGUCAGCGGUAAAAAUACGGGGGCUCAACCUCCCGCCCGCCGCUGGAAACUGACGGUCUUAGGGGGGGCGAAGAAGUUUGCGGAAUGCGUGUGUUGCGUGUGAUUGCCAUUAUAUCACGGCUAAACUCCGAAUUGUCAAGGCCGCUUAUCGGGGCCCAACUGGCUGUUGAUUUUCUUAAGGGUGGGGAUCCUAACGGAAUAGAUUCUCUUGUUUUCC